UAGGACUGCUGUGAGUCACUGCGAUGGC
RNAcentral lists this non-coding RNA (28 nucleotides) under Homo sapiens (human). The record is from RNAcentral. Lineage: Eukaryota; Metazoa; Chordata; Mammalia; Primates; Hominidae.